Regulatory RNA element from Methanomethylovorans hollandica DSM 15978, 100 nucleotides. It matches the Rfam family "Pyrrolysine insertion sequence mttB". The record is from Rfam. NCBI's taxonomy places the organism in Archaea, Methanobacteriati, Methanobacteriota, Methanomicrobia, Methanosarcinales, Methanosarcinaceae.
UAGUCCGAUUCCAAGAUACCAGACGGUCAGGCAGGUCACGAGAAGACCAUGACAACGUUGUUGCCAGCCCUGUCCGGUGCAAACACUCUGUAUGGUUCAG